This 519-nucleotide ribosomal RNA is filed under the name uncultured bacterium. Its description in RNAcentral is "bacterial SSU rRNA". It matches the Rfam family "Bacterial small subunit ribosomal RNA", at positions 8 to 497 of the family's 1533-position model. The record is from RNAcentral.
AGAGUUUGAUCAUGGCUCAGAACGAACGCUGGCGGCGUGCCUGAGACAUGCAAGUCGUGGGAGAACGUCGGGGCAACCCGGCUAGUAAACCGGCGCACGGGUGAGUAACACGUGGAUAACCUGCCCUGGAGACUGGGAUAACCCGUCGAAAGACGGACUAAUACCAGAUAAGACCACGGACAGUUCGCUGUCCGAGGUAAAAGGUGGCCUCUGCUCCUGCAAGCUAUCACUCCGGGAGGGGUCCGCGGCCUAUCAGCUAGUUGGCGGGGUAAUGGCCCACCAAGGCAAAGACGGGUAGCUGGUCUGAGAGGAUGGUCAGCCACACUGGGACUGAGACACGGCUCAGAGUCCUACGGGAUGCAGCAGUCAGGAAUAUUGCGCAAUGGAGGAAACUCUGACGCAGCGACGCCGCGUGGGUGAUGAAGGCCUUCGGGUCGUAAAGCCCUGUCGGAGGGAAAGAAAAGCUCGCUGGCUAAUAUCCAGCGAGCCCUUGACGGUACCCUCAAAGGAAGCACCGGC